UACUCUUUAGCCUGCUAAGGAGGAAAGUGGCGCACGGGUGCGUAACGCGUAUGCAACCUACCUUAAUCAGGGGGAUAGCCCGAAGAAAUUCGGAUUAACACCGCAUAAAAUCACAGCACAGCAUUGUGCAAUGAUCAAAUAUUUAUAGGAUUAAGAUGGGCAUGCGUGACAUUAGUUAGUUGGCGGGGUAACGGCCCACCAAGACCACGAUGUCUAGGGAUCUGAGAGGAUGACCCCCCACACUGGUACUGAGACACGGACCAGACUCC
This 269-nucleotide ribosomal RNA is filed under the name uncultured Pedobacter sp. RNAcentral describes it as "partial 16S ribosomal RNA". It matches the Rfam family "Bacterial small subunit ribosomal RNA", at positions 69 to 339 of the family's 1533-position model. The record is from RNAcentral. Lineage: Bacteria; Pseudomonadati; Bacteroidota; Sphingobacteriia; Sphingobacteriales; Sphingobacteriaceae.